UAAGCAAGCCGUUCUAUCGCUUCUUCACCCUGGUGGAGGGGAGGAAAGUCCGGGCAACACAGAGCACCACACUUCCGAAAGGAAGAUAUCCGUGAGGGUAUAGUAGCGGAACAGAAAAUAACCGUCUGCCUGAUGGUGGAUAAGGGUGAAAAGGUGAGGUAAGAGCUCACCGGUAUUCCGGGUGACCGGGAUAGCCGUUCGCCUUGUGGGUUGAAAGACCAUGUAUACCGGCGCCUGAGGGUUGCUCGCCCGAUGCCGGGGGGUAGGUCGCUCAGAUAAAUGAUAGAAGUCCUGUUUUACAGGAAAACAGAACCCGGCUUACAGGCUUGCUUUUUUU
Molecule: RNase P RNA, 337 nt
Filed under: Bacteroides sp. SM23_62_1
Lineage: Bacteria; Pseudomonadati; Bacteroidota; Bacteroidia; Bacteroidales; Bacteroidaceae
Description: bacterial RNase P
Rfam family: Bacterial RNase P class A
About the family: Ribonuclease P (RNase P) is a ubiquitous endoribonuclease, found in archaea, bacteria and eukarya as well as chloroplasts and mitochondria. Its best characterised activity is the generation of mature 5'-ends of tRNAs by cleaving the 5'-leader elements of precursor-tRNAs.
Source: RNAcentral